RNAcentral lists this unclassified non-coding RNA (396 nucleotides) under Hevea brasiliensis (rubber tree). The record is from RNAcentral. Lineage: Eukaryota; Viridiplantae; Streptophyta; Magnoliopsida; Malpighiales; Euphorbiaceae.
CUGCCUUUUCCUAGCUGUCCAGAUUUGAAAGCAUGUUCUUGCUCUUGGAGGAAAGCCCUGCUCUGUCCAUACUUCUCUGCUCUUUCUUCUUCCAUUAAAGCUUUUUCUUUUUCCUUCACUUCAUAUAAGAAAUAAUUGUCCUUUCGCAGUUCGCGAGCUGCCCCUUUAGCUUCUCUUUUUAGUUGUUUCUUUAACUUUCUUCCUUCAGCCCGUUCACGAUCUGGAUCAUAAUCUCUACCCUUAACAAAGUUCUCCUCAAAUUUUGGGGUAAGUAGUUUGAUGGGCAGUGGCUUCUUCUUCCGCAUUUGAAGUGGUAGCCGCUGUGUAUAUUGUUCAGCUUUCUUCUUAAUAAGUUCAGCAACAUUUUUAUAUUUAUCUUGUAAUGCUGCUGGCAAG